Molecule: ribosomal RNA, 470 nt
Filed under: uncultured Chloroflexota bacterium
Lineage: Bacteria; Bacillati; Chloroflexota
Description: bacterial SSU rRNA
Rfam family: Bacterial small subunit ribosomal RNA
Source: RNAcentral
UGAGGAAUAUUGCACAAUGGGCGCAAGCCUGAUGCAGCGACGCCGCGUGGGUGACGAAGGUCUUCGGAUCGUAAAGCCCUUUUCUGCGUGACGAGCAAGGACGGUAGCGCAGGAAUAAGUCUCGGCUAACUACGUGCCAGCAGCCGCGGUAAAACGUAGGAGACGAACGUUAUCCGGAGUUACUGGGCGUAAAGGGCGUGCAGGCGGCAGCUUAAGUCUGUUGUGAAACACUCCGGCUCAACCGGGGAAGGGCGAUAGAUACUGAGCAGCUCGAGGGCGGUAGAGGCGUGUGGAAUUCCGGGUGUAGUGGUGAAAUGCGUAGAUAUCCGGAGGAACACCAGUGGCGAAGGCGACACGCUGGGCCGCACCUGACGCUAAGACGCGACAGCAUGGGGAGCGAACGGGAUUAGAAACCCCGGUAGUCCAUGCCGUAAACGAUGCCAACUAGGUGUUCGCACCGCGCAAGCGGU